AUGUGUGAGGGUUUCUUGGGCUGUCGACCGCACUGGGGCUUGUUCAAACGUAUCUUCACGUGUCGCUCUCAGACCGUGAAGAAGGCGAGUCCUGGUGACGAGAAGACUCGAGUCGUCCAAAUGUGUGGGGGCCUGGGGAUUCAGGUGAGGAACAAUAGCACCUUCCCGCCCAUGUCUUUUCCCGAGUCCGUCAGAGGCUGGCAGUCGACUUGGUUCUACUGCCAGGUCCAGUCGACGCCAGGGCAGUCGAGUGGACUCCCUCCGUUUACCAUGGACCGAGUGAGCAAGCCCUCCCCUUUGAAGCUGAUUCCGGAGGAGAAAGCCGACGUGAAGAUGUUGAUGGAGCGAGUGGUGCAGCUGGUUCGGGACGGAGUGACAGGCAUGGACCUCUUGGAGGUUUUCCUCAAGCGCCGCAUCCAACCUCUCCAGUUCCGGAGCCACUGCAUGUGGUUGUACUGUGGGCCCGCGGACGAGACCAGAGUCCAUCCAGAAGAAGUCGACGAUGUCACUCUGGAAAGGUGGAUGGUAGCCGUUACCGGAAACAGGGACAACCCGCGCGGAGCCAGAAGGAUUCCUCCACUCGACCACGACAGCGUCCCAAACAAGGUACGCUUGCUCUGCUUUCCAUCAUGUCUUUGUUGUAUUCAUUUCUGCUAA
Molecule: ribosomal RNA, 657 nt
Filed under: Triticum aestivum (bread wheat)
Lineage: Eukaryota; Viridiplantae; Streptophyta; Magnoliopsida; Poales; Poaceae
Description: partial small subunit ribosomal RNA
Source: RNAcentral